Molecule: ribosomal RNA, 836 nt
Filed under: Haptophyta environmental samples
Lineage: Eukaryota; Haptophyta
Description: bacterial SSU rRNA
Rfam family: Bacterial small subunit ribosomal RNA
Source: RNAcentral
GAGGAAUAAGCAUCGGCUAACUCCGUGCCAGCAGCCGCGGUAAUACGGGGGAUGCAAGCGUUAUCCGGAAUCAUUGGGCGUAAAGCGCCUGUAGGUUGUUUAGUAAGUCUGUUGUUAAAGACUAAGGCUUAACCUUAGGAAAGCGAUGGAAACUACUAGACUUGAGUAUGGCAGGGGUAGAGGGAAUUUCUAGUGUAGCGGUGAAAUGCGUAGAUAUUAGAAAGAACACCAGCGGCGAAAGCGCUCUACUGGACCAUUACUGACACUCAGAGGCGAAAGCUAGGGGAGCAAAAGGGAUUAGAUACCCCUGUAGUCCUAGCCGUAAACGAUGGAUACUAGGUGUUGUGUAUACUAUACAGUGCCGUAGCUAACGCGUUAAGUAUCCCGCCUGGGGAGUACGCUCGCAAGGGUGAAACUCAAAGGAAUUGACGGGGGCCCGCACAAGCGGUGGAGCAUGUGGUUUAAUUCGAUGCAACGCGAAGAACCUUACCAGGGCUUGACAUACUGCAAAUCUUUUUUAAACGAAAGAGUGCCUUCGGGAAUGCAGAUACAGGUGGUGCAUGGCUGUCGUCAGCUCGUGUCGUGAGAUGUUGGGUUAAGUCCCGCAACGAGCGCAACCCUCGUUUUUAGUUACCAAUUUAUUGGAAUCUCUAGAAAGACUGCCGGUGACAAACCGGAGGAAGGUGAGGAUGACGUCAAGUCAGCAUGCCCCUUAUGUCCUGGGCCACACACGUGCUACAAUGGCAAAGACAAAGAGUCGCAAACCUGCAAAGGCUAGCUAAUCUCGGAAACUUUGUCUAAGUUCGGAUUGUAGGCUGCAACUCGCCUACAUGAAG